This is a long non-coding RNA of Alexandromys fortis (reed vole), 424 nucleotides long. RefSeq lists it as uncharacterized. NCBI's taxonomy places the organism in Eukaryota, Metazoa, Chordata, Mammalia, Rodentia, Cricetidae. The transcript is spliced from 3 exons. The record is from RefSeq and is a predicted model, not a curated record.
CUCCAGCGUGGUAUGGAGAAUGGCCAGAAGGGCCCCGGGAGCCUCCUGCCUCUUUGACCCAGUGGCCAGGUCAUCCCUGGGCCUCUUCCGCUGAAGUUAAAAAACUCAAGGAGGACUCCUGGAGAUGGUUUGAAAGAAGAACAUCUCGGAAAUGGGCUUCAGAGCGUUUAAAAUGGGGCGGCACACCCAGCCUUAGCAUGAAGAUGACUGAUCCCACCUCAGACCCUCUGGCCAGAAGAGGACACCAGACCUCAUUACAGAUGGUUGUGAGCCACCAUGUGGUUGCCAGGAAUUGAACUUAGGACCUUUGGAAGAGCAGCCAGAAGCCAGUGCUCUUAACCUCUGAGCCAUCUCUCCAGCCCUGUUGUUGGGUUUUUUGUUUUUUGUUUCUUUUCCAAAGACAAGGUUUGGAGCCUGUCCUGGA